UUUUGUCUUGGGCUAGCAUUGUGCUUCUUGCUAUAAUCCUCCCACCAAUUCGAAGCAUGUGAUUCCUUCUCUGUGUUUUCACUAUAGAUGCAGAGUUACACUCCAUUGACAUACAUAAUGAUUAAGAUGCAUCGAAUUCGGUACUCGGAUCUCCACUCUUUGGUGGCCUAAAUUGAUUGCAUUGAAAAGCGCACAAGGGAAAGGAAAUGACUUGCUCUGCACAAGGGUUUCCUUUGCUGGAAUACUUGCAUUCUAAAAGAGUGGAGAGUAGAUGAAGUAUCGAUGCCAAGCCCUUUACAUUUGUGGAUUGAUGGAUGCUCUGAUUUGAAGAUGCUUCUAAAAGGACGACAAGAAAUUGGAGUUGUGGAUCAUGCAUUCAUAAUUCAAAGCCAUGUUUUGAGAAGAUGAAGGAAAUAUUGGCAUAAGAUUCAACAUAUAUUCGCCAGUGAGGUAGGCGAUUAUUAAGAUGCACUAGCGUUGAAUUAAUCACUUUCAUUUCCUCUACUUGUGAGGUAAAUUGCUAGCCGUAUCUUGCGAUUCAGCUCAUGUGGGCUUUUUACUGUCCUAUGGGCGUUUGUCAUUGGCCUUCUUGCAAUCAUCCUUCAUUCAAGUUUUAGAACACCUAAUCUAAAAGCUUGUCUGAACACAUUCCGCGAGGAGUUCCGUGCAGCUGAUUAGAUAGAUAACUUUUUUAUUGGUAUUGUGCUUUUAUGAAUGGAUUAAAAUGAAUGAUUGUAUUUGAAUGAAUGAAUGAAUGAUUUAGCCUUUUUCCAAUCUGCAACUCUCCCUAUGGUCGAGUA
This is a long non-coding RNA of Magnolia sinica, 800 nucleotides long. RefSeq lists it as uncharacterized. The transcript is spliced from 4 exons. The record is from RefSeq and is a predicted model, not a curated record. Lineage: Eukaryota; Viridiplantae; Streptophyta; Magnoliopsida; Magnoliales; Magnoliaceae.